GUCUCUGUAGUUCAGUUGGAAGAACAGCGGAUUUUUAAUCCGCGAGUCGUUGGUUCGAAUCCAAUCAGGGACACCA
RNAcentral lists this transfer RNA (76 nucleotides) under Bacteroidales bacterium. Its description in RNAcentral is "tRNA-Lys". It matches the Rfam family "tRNA". From Rfam's summary of the family: Transfer RNA (tRNA) molecules are approximately 80 nucleotides in length. The record is from RNAcentral. Lineage: Bacteria; Pseudomonadati; Bacteroidota; Bacteroidia; Bacteroidales.